RNAcentral lists this microRNA (23 nucleotides) under Panagrellus redivivus. Its description in RNAcentral is "prd-miR-7970-5p". The record is from miRBase by way of RNAcentral. Lineage: Eukaryota; Metazoa; Nematoda; Chromadorea; Rhabditida; Panagrolaimidae.
ACAGCAACCUUAAUUCCAACAGC